RNAcentral lists this ribosomal RNA (300 nucleotides) under uncultured bacterium. RNAcentral's name for it is "bacterial SSU rRNA". It matches the Rfam family "Bacterial small subunit ribosomal RNA", at positions 335 to 618 of the family's 1533-position model. The record is from RNAcentral.
ACUCCUACGGGAGGCAGCAGUGGGGAAUAUUGCACAAUGGGGGAAACCCUGAUGCAGCCAUGCCGCGUGUGUGAAGAAGGCCUUCGGGUUNUGAAAGAUCACUUUCAGUAGGGAGGAAGGUAGUGUAGUUAACACCUGCAUUAUUUGACGUUACCUACAGCAAGAAGCACCGGCUAACUCCGUGCCAAGCCAGGCUNCGGNAAUACGGAGGGUGCGAGGCCGUUAAUCGGAAUUACUGGGCGUAAAGCGCAUGCAGGCGGCCUGUUAAGUCAGAUGUGAAAGCCCGGGGCUUAACCUCGG